UACUGCUAAGGAGACGCGGCGAGAAGC
RNAcentral lists this small RNA (27 nucleotides) under Bombyx mori (domestic silkworm). RNAcentral describes it as "ovarian small RNA-21502". Lineage: Eukaryota; Metazoa; Arthropoda; Insecta; Lepidoptera; Bombycidae. The record is from RNAcentral.